UUGAUUGAUUCAUCAUCUGACUCGGACGCACGGAUGCAGCGUUUUGACGGUCCACCGGGGGCCCCGACGCCAAAAGGGCCGGGUCGCCCCCGAGGCAACAGUGUCGGAUAACAUGGGGUUGGGAGGUCGGGCACGGAGGCCCUCACUCGGUAAUGAUCCCUCCGCAGGUUCACCUACGGAGA
RNAcentral lists this unclassified non-coding RNA (182 nucleotides) under uncultured fungus. RNAcentral's name for it is "sequence contains ITS1". The record is from RNAcentral. Lineage: Eukaryota; Fungi.